AUGAUACGCUGCUACAAGAUCUCCUGGUGCGUUGGAUCUGCAUGGAAGGGGUCGCUGCCAACAUCCAGUGUAUAUCAAAAGGGGCAGAUUAAGCAAACUUGCACCAGAUUAUUAGAAGGACAUUGCAACUACAUGUACAGAAUUUGUUUCUGCAACAGAUUUAUUCACUGUAAUGCAAAGAAGAGAUCGGACGUGCUAAUCGUUUUCCAGAAUUUGCUGCUCGGAAAGUAUAAGCAGAAGAAAAUGUAUUGGCAUCCAUUUUGCAGCGCUCACUAUCCUGAAAGCAGGACUUUAGCCAAACAAUGGUAA
Molecule: ribosomal RNA, 309 nt
Filed under: Triticum aestivum (bread wheat)
Lineage: Eukaryota; Viridiplantae; Streptophyta; Magnoliopsida; Poales; Poaceae
Description: partial small subunit ribosomal RNA
Source: RNAcentral